RNAcentral lists this ribosomal RNA (2406 nucleotides) under Triticum aestivum (bread wheat). Its description in RNAcentral is "partial small subunit ribosomal RNA". The record is from RNAcentral. Lineage: Eukaryota; Viridiplantae; Streptophyta; Magnoliopsida; Poales; Poaceae.
AUGAAAAAGGAUCUUGUCCGUCAAACAGGGCUUCACGACAUCCUUCAGCUGAAGUUAACUAAAGUUAACAGACAGUAUGGCGCAUGGCUUCUGAGCAAGAUUGAUGUUGAUUCAUGUGCCAUCGUAGCUGAUCUUCAUAAAGUGAUCCCCUUCUCUGCGAGGGACGUUAACUCAGUCUUGGGUGUACCAUGCAGCGGGAGAACCAUUGAGACGUGUAACCAAGAUGAGGUAGAACGGAAUAAGAGGAUUCUUUGUGAUAUUUUUGAGGUUCCACACUUUUCACAGGUUACUGUUAAGUUUUUGGAGGCCAUUCUUAAUAAACAAUAUUCAUAUCCGAUGAGCUUAAAGGACCAACGAUCGUUCAAGGCGGCAUUUGUCCUUUAUGUCAUGACAAAGUUCUUGGCUCCGCAAUCACUAGCAAACUACAUUUCCACAAGGUAUAUCAGCGUAGUAGCUGAUAUUGACAAUAUCUCGUCAUACAACUGGGCACAAUUCAUCGUCGACGACCUCAUGAAUUCUGCCAGCUUGAUGCCCAAACGAUUUCAUAAUUCUUCUCAAGUAUCAAUUAACGGGUGUAUACUAUUCCUCCAGACAAUCUACCUGGACCAUAUUGCGCCAUCAAAUAACGAUGUCAACUAUGAAACCAGUCCUAGGAUUGCGGCAUUCGAUGAUGACCUCGUCACCCGCAUUAUCAUGAAUGACAUGAAGUGCAAACACAACAUUGGGUUCCCUUUCCCUCAGUUUGGGAAGCUCCAGCUCACGAAACCACAAAGUAUUUACUCCCGUGCACCAAAAGAGGGCUCUCAAGAAAAUCAUCAUUCGACUCCGAGCGCAACCAUUAACCAACCAUGUGUGUCCAACAUUUCAGAAUACUUGCAGACGCGUUUCAAGUCAACUAAAUUACGGUCGAUAUAUGGAGAAGAGGCUUCUUCUUCCAUUAAGGAUGCAAUCUCCAGUGCUGAAGGACAAUUUUCAUCUAUUUUGCAAGAUACUUCAGAUUUUGAAAACUUUUUAGAUAAUCCAGUAGCCAUUGAAGCAACUCAAAAACUUAACAAAAUUCUGGUUACUACUGUUUUCAAUUCGAUAAAAAUUGCAGUAAGGGCCACCCUUUGUAAUGUUCUUUCGGACAACCACAAUAGGUCCGGCGGUCUGGGCAGUCACGGUGCACUUCCUUCGAACCCCACAUCAGGCCUUACCCCAACAUCCUUCAGCAAGGAUACUGCUUCACCAUGCCAACAUACAAGUACGCCUGACAGGGAUCAUCCACAACUGGCUUCUCAAGGCAACAUUGGUUCAUGUAGCACAACAAGUAAUAGGUACAACAAUCUAGCAUCCCGCACUCCACCAACAACUCAUAAUGCUUCUGCCUCACCAAGCAAGCAGAAAUCGUCAAUCUCCCCAGCAUCCGCUGCUCGCCUGGCACAAGAGUGGACCGUCGCACUAAGUGCGGAGGAUACCAAUGGAGAUGAACAACAACGUAGAUACAUAGUAGAAAACCCACCAUCCCACCUUCUAAGAGAUAAAAACACCCGAAAAAUAAAUCAAAACAAGAAACUUUUGUCCCCCUUUCAGACCAAGCAAUGCUCAAUAACACGUACUGAUACGCGGGUAGCCCGCUCAACUUAUUCGUACAUUCAAGAAAUAUCAAAUGAAGCCUUGUUGGAUGAAGUAUGGCUUCAAAAUUCUUGUCCGUUCAACAUCUCCAUAAAGUUACGCACUCUCCAGCAAUCAAUUGCACGCGGUGGCUGGAUGGAUACUGACUGCUUAAAUUUUGCGAUCCGCAAAAUGUUCUUGGAUGACGUGGAUCGGUUCGAGGGAACAAACUAUUUGGGAUGGAGACACUUCAUAAACCUCGACUUUGCAAGCUAUGCCUUGGCGGGGGGUGAAUUCUGGGUUCCAGAGCACCAGCUAGGACACUUCAUUGGAACACACAUACGUUAUGACGUUUCGCAAAGCCAUCAUAUACUCAUACCACUUCAUCUAGUUAAUCACUAUGCGUUGUAUGCAUUCGACAUGGAGAACAAGAAAAUAUCGAUACUUGACUCGCUCAGUGCACUAGGCCCCUUCAACGAAUCAAGAAUAUCUAGACAUAACAAGACAUGUCACACCAUAGCAUAUCAUCUCGCCGAGUGCAUGAGAUUAGCUUUUCCUGGAUGGGAUGAGGACAUACCUAGCUGGGGUAUUGAGGUCGUAGAGAACAUACCAGAACAACAAAACUUGGAUGAUUGCGAUUUUCUUGUAUUGAACUUCGUGCGCAACUGGAAUGGCCUCCGUCUAAUUAAUUUCAUAAGCAAGGAUUCUAACGACUUAAGGUGCACUUUUCUACUGGACUUGCUGACGUUCAAGACAAAUGAAGCUUCUCUUCCAGAUUGGGUUAAACUCCAGCUCAGCCAGCUUAGGGAUUAG